AACUCAUAUUUAGGGCAUUUCUGCAGGAGCUCCUUGAACCUAUCCUAUGUAUCAAAAAGAGACUCCAAUUCUAUUUGCACAAAAGAAGAUAUCUCAUUACUAAGCUU
Small nucleolar RNA from Dioscorea cayenensis subsp. rotundata (Guinea yam), 107 nucleotides. Lineage: Eukaryota; Viridiplantae; Streptophyta; Magnoliopsida; Dioscoreales; Dioscoreaceae. The record is from RefSeq and is a predicted model, not a curated record.